UUACUCCUGCUUGGCAAGUGGCGUUUAUAUUAUACCUUGCUAUCAGUUAUAGGCUAUCGGAUUAAGUUUCAGUAAAGUAACCCUAGUAUUACUAAUCUUACUUCUAUUGCAAUCUGUUUAAAACCGCCUUCUCAUCUCGCCACGCUGGAUCUCAUCGUAGGUACGAUGGCUUGCGCUGUUUAUUACGUUUUUGCCCUUUUUUUAUGCUUUUUCCACUUUUCUUGCUUCUAGGACAAGUAACUUCACUUUUCCAGGUAUUUGCUUGCUUUUGUGCUUCAAUUGCGAUUAAAACUACCUUAAAUUACUACUAAAA
Molecule: long non-coding RNA, 313 nt
Filed under: Trifolium pratense (red clover)
Lineage: Eukaryota; Viridiplantae; Streptophyta; Magnoliopsida; Fabales; Fabaceae
Description: long non-coding RNA (TPRA_LNC002077)
Source: RNAcentral